Molecule: non-coding RNA, 2241 nt
Organism: Cicer arietinum (chickpea)
Lineage: Eukaryota; Viridiplantae; Streptophyta; Magnoliopsida; Fabales; Fabaceae
Source: RefSeq, a predicted model, not a curated record
UAUUUUUCUAUUUAAACUUUAUUAUUUUGAAUCAAUGUUUCAACAUUAUUUUAUCAUUUCAAUCAAUUUUGUUAAGUGUGUUUAUAAUUCACAAAUUGGUAGAUCGGUAGUUCCAACUUGAGAGAAAUUUGUAGAAUAUUAAAAUUAUUCCUGUCUUAUGAGUGUUAGGUUUUUUGUUUUUUUGCAUUAACUGUAUUGCAUAGCCAAUACCUUCAACAAUAGUAAAUAUCAUGAUGGUUAACUAUAUGAUAAAAAUUUGAUUUCCAUUGAGACCAAGAGGAUGAAUCAGAUAGUCUUGUUGUAACUGAUAGACCGUAAGCUCUGGUUUAUGAUUAUUCUUUUUUAUUCUGCCAUUCCUGAUAUACUGUUUUGGAAUCUUUACAAAUACAUGUAAAAUUUGAUGGGGAUUAUGGAUAUAAAUUAGCUUGUUGAGGCCUAAAAGCACGGUCCAUAAUAUACCGUUAUGAUCCAUGGGUUUUGUAACGAUGACUUGUUUGAUGAAGCUUUCGCAUUGAUGUAAAAAAUGAAAGACAAUGGAUGCAAUCCAAAUGCUACAACUUAUGAAAUAAUUAUCCGUUUUUAUAAAGAUGAAAACGAAGGCAGAGAAAUUUCUUGAUGAAAUGAUUGCGAGAGGUCUCCUUUAAGACUGGAACUAAGUAAGAUGUUUUCUAGAAACAAGUAAAUCAGCACCAUGAUGAAUUGUGCCAUUGUUCUGUCUGCAACUCAUGACAGGGACAGGGAACAAACCAUCGGUAAAACCAGUGACAUAUUCACAAUUACAUGUUACAUAUAAGGUUACACACUUACAUCGAUGUUCUUUAACCUACUUUUGCUUAUAUUUGAUAUCUGAGUAGUAAUUUGUAUCAUGAUAGUCAUUUGAACCUCUACUAAACCUAUUUGUUAUCAGCACAGGUAUCCACACACUUUGUAUUGCAAAAAUAUAACACACAAAACCCAAGAAUGUGUACAGGUGGCUUCUAAGAUGAUGGAGCAUUGUGCAUGAGAUGUGUCCAAGGGGUCUAAGGUGUAUCGAAGUGAAGAAAAACAAGUUUUAUUUUUGUGACACUUAUUUGAGGUGUCGUAUGAGUGUCAGAAUGAUGCAUGUCAGACACAACGAUAAAUCUAACCUCAAAGAUGUAUGAACUUCAUAGUUCAUAUCCAUUUCUAUUUUGUAAUUAGAAUGUUGAAGCAGCGGGUUGAUAUUGAGAAAACAAGACAUCGGACUGCUGUCACUUCAGAUGUUCGACAUCAAAUCAUGGAAAUGAAUAGGAAAGCAAGGGAAGAGUGGGAGAAAAAACAGGCUGAAGCAGAGAAGCUCCGGAAACCGAAAGAUGUAGAUGGUAGUUCUGGAGUUGAUGGUGACAAGGAGAAGGAUGAAGGUCGCAAUAAAGCAACAAAGGUGAACAAGGAAGUAGAUGCCAAGAUGAGGACAAACGUUGCGGCCAGAGCUUCCGUUGGGGGACCUGACAUGCUGUCUAAAUUGCAACUUAUGGCCAAGCAAGCCAGGCAGAAACGUGAAGGGGGGAUGGACGCUGCAUCUGAUUCUCAGCCAACUAAAGAUGUGAGUCGCAAAUCUCCAUCGCCAGGAAGGAGCACAAAAGAGAAAAUGUCCAACUUCUCUUGGGAAUUCGGGUGUGUUUCUUCUUGGUUGUUUCAUAUCAUUUCAGGAAAAUAAACCAAGAUACCAAUUCUCAAACAAAUGAGGAAGAAGAUUGGAGGACUUAGUGAUGAUCGCACAUAAAAGGAAAGAGGCAAAGAGCUAAAGCUUUUGUUAAUAUUUGUUGUUUUUGGCUGAAGUGCCGCUGCUAGGAAAUUUGGUAAAAAUCAUUCCCUUGGAUCUCAAACUUGCGUAGCUCGUAGCAUCUCUGUGAAGGGGGAUUCAUUUACAUCAGCUUGUAAACCGAUAGUCAGUUGGCAGAGGGAAUGUCUUUCUGAAGGAGCGCUUGUUCUGGGAUUAUAGAGAUCACUCUCUGUAAUAGUUCUUAUUUCAGUCAAUAAUACGAUUUCUUUUUAUCUUGAAUUCGGUUCCAUAUAAAUGAUAGAGUCAUGUUUGUUGCUAUAUCAAAUUAAGUAGCAUUUACUGUUUCAAUCUCCAAAUAUUCAGUAGCACAGUGCAUUGGCUACACCUGCACUUAACUGUUCAGCUCAAAUUUCUGUAGAUAACAGGAUAUUGAUGUACAUCAGUAGGCGUGUAAAAAAUAUUUGAUUCAUUCAGUAGAAAGAUACCUGAUUUUUUAUUUA